UACGUAGGGGGCAAGCGUUGUUCGGAAUUACUGGGCGUAAAGGGCGCGUAGGCGGCACAGCAAGUCGGGAGUGAAAGCCCGGGGCUCAACCCCGGAAUGGCUUUCGAAACUGCUAAGCUAGAGUAUAGUAGGGGUAAAGGGAAUUUCCAGUGGAGCGGUGAAAUGCGUAGAGAUUGGAAAGAACACCGAUGGCGAAGGCACUUUACUGGGCUAUUACUAACACUCAGAGACGAAAGCUAGGGUAGCAAAUGGG
This 253-nucleotide ribosomal RNA is filed under the name uncultured bacterium. RNAcentral describes it as "partial 16S ribosomal RNA". It matches the Rfam family "Bacterial small subunit ribosomal RNA", at positions 524 to 776 of the family's 1533-position model. The record is from RNAcentral.